GCCGGUGUGUCGGAAUGGCAGACGAGGCAGACUCAAAAUCUGUUGUCAGUGAUGGCGUACGGGUUCAAGUCCCGUCACCGGCA
This 83-nucleotide transfer RNA is filed under the name Lachnospiraceae bacterium KH1T2. It matches the Rfam family "tRNA". From Rfam's summary of the family: Transfer RNA (tRNA) molecules are approximately 80 nucleotides in length. Their secondary structure includes four short double-helical elements and three loops (D, anti-codon, and T loops). Further hydrogen bonds mediate the characteristic L-shaped molecular structure. tRNAs have two regions of fundamental functional importance: the anti-codon, which is responsible for specific mRNA codon recognition, and the 3' end, to which the tRNAs corresponding amino acid is attached (by aminoacyl-tRNA synthetases). tRNAs cope with the degeneracy of the genetic code in two manners: having more than one tRNA (with a specific anti-codon) for a particular amino acid; and 'wobble' base-pairing, i.e. permitting non-standard base-pairing at the 3rd anti-codon position. Lineage: Bacteria; Bacillati; Bacillota; Clostridia; Lachnospirales; Lachnospiraceae. The record is from Rfam by way of RNAcentral. RNAcentral also lists the same sequence under 1 other name.